This 926-nucleotide non-coding RNA is filed under the name Pongo abelii (Sumatran orangutan). The record is from RNAcentral. Lineage: Eukaryota; Metazoa; Chordata; Mammalia; Primates; Hominidae.
AGGCGAGAGCCGCGGCUGACAGGGUCUGGGACAGAAGGAAAGCCCUCCGGCCUCCAGGCCCUGCCUUCUGCCUGCACAUUCUGCCCUGAUUUCCGGAACCUGGAAGCCUAGGCAGGCAGGGGGGAACUCUGACUCGCCUGUGCUCUGAAGCUUGAUCCGAAAGCUUCCACAGUGAGGACUGCUCCGUGGGGGUAAGAGAGCACCAGGCACUGAGGCCUGGGAGCUCCACAGACCAACACCCCUGCUCCUGGCGGCUCCUACCUGGGACUUAGACCCUCAGGUCCCUAAUAUCCCGGAGGUGCUCUCAAUCAGAAAGGUCCUGCUCCGCUUCUCAGUGGAAUGGAACGGAUUUAGAAGCCUGCAGUAGGGGAGUGGGGAGUGGAGAGAAGGAGCCCAGAGUUACAGACAGCGGCGAGAGGAAGGAGGGGCGUCUUUAUUUUUUUAAGGCCCCAAAGAGUCCGAAGUUUACAAGACCAGAAAUGCCACGGCCGCGUCCUGGCAGAGAGAAAAGGCUGAAAUGGAGGAGCGGCGCCUUCCUUAUAAGCUCGUUGGGGCCUAAGCCAGUACCGACCUGGUAGAAAAGCAACCACGAAGCUAGAGAGAGAGCCAGAGGAGGGAAGAGAGCGCCAGACGAAGGUGAAAGCGAACCACGCAGAGAAAUGUAGGCAAGGGAGCAAGGCGGCAGUUCCCGGAACAAACGUGGCAGAGGGCAAGACAGGCACUCACAGACAGAGGUUUAUGUAUUUUUAUUUUUUUAAAAUCUGAUUUGGUGUACCAUGAGGAAAAGGGAAAAUCUGGGGAAUUGGAGUACAGAGAGAAUAAUCCGGGUCCUAGCUCGCCACAUGAACGCCCAGAAGGAGAGAACGCUGGAAAAACCUGAGCGGGUGCCGGGACAGCACCCGGCUCGGGUCAGCCACUGCCCCACA